CCUACGGGGGGCAGCAGUGGGGAAUAUUGCGCAAUGGGCGAAAGCCUGACGCAGCGACGCCGCGUGAGGGAUGAAGGUCUUCGGAUCGUAAACCUCUGUCAGCAGGGAAGAACGGUCACUGUGCUAAUCAGCAGUGAAUUGACGGUACCUGCAAAGGAAGCACCGGCUAACUCCGUGCCAGCAGCCGCGGUAAUACGUAGGGUGCGAGCGUUAAUCGGAAUUACUGGGCGUAAAGCGCUCGUAGGCGGUAUGUCAAGUCAAGGGUGAAAUCCCCGCGCUCAACGUGGGAACUGCCUUUGAAACUGGCAAACUGGAGUGUGUGAGAGGAUAGUGGAAUUCCAGGUGUAGGAGUGAAAUGCGUAGAUAUCUGGAGGAACAUCAGUGGCGAAGGCGACUAUCUGGCACAUAACUGACGCUGAGGAGCGAAAGCGUGGGUAGCAAACAGGAUUAGAUACCCUGGUAGUC
This 465-nucleotide ribosomal RNA is filed under the name uncultured bacterium. RNAcentral describes it as "partial 16S ribosomal RNA". It matches the Rfam family "Bacterial small subunit ribosomal RNA", at positions 338 to 795 of the family's 1533-position model. The record is from RNAcentral.